GACGAACGCUGGCGGCGUGCCUAAUACAUGCAAGUAGAACGCUGAAGGAGGAGCUUGCUCUUCUGGAUGAGUUGCGAACGGGUGAGUAACGCGUAGGUAACCUGCCUGGUAGCGGGGGAUAACUAUUGGAAACGAUAGCUAAUACCGCAUAAGAGUAGAUGUUGCAUGACAUUUGCUUAAAAGGUGCAAUUGCAUCACUACCAGAUGGACCUGCGUUGUAUUAGCUAGUUGGUGGGGUAACGGCUCACCAAGGCGACGAUACAUAGCCGACCUGAGAGGGUGAUCGGCCACACUGGGACUAAGACACGGCCCAGACUCCUACGGGAGGCAGCAGUAGGGAAUCUUCGGCAAUGGACGGAAGUCUGACCGAGCAACGCCGCGUGAGUGAAGAAGGUUUUCGGAUCGUAAAGCUCUGUUGUAAGAGAAGAACGAGUGUGAGAGUGGAAAGUUCACGCUGUGACGGUAUCUUACCAGAAAGGGACGGCUAACUACGUGC
RNAcentral lists this ribosomal RNA (496 nucleotides) under uncultured Streptococcus sp. Its description in RNAcentral is "bacterial SSU rRNA". It matches the Rfam family "Bacterial small subunit ribosomal RNA", at positions 28 to 508 of the family's 1533-position model. The record is from RNAcentral. Lineage: Bacteria; Bacillati; Bacillota; Bacilli; Lactobacillales; Streptococcaceae.